RNAcentral lists this ribosomal RNA (336 nucleotides) under uncultured bacterium. RNAcentral's name for it is "partial 16S ribosomal RNA". The stretch from base 132 to 336 matches the Rfam family "Bacterial small subunit ribosomal RNA", at positions 1 to 215 of the family's 1533-position model. The record is from RNAcentral.
UACCAAGAUUCGCAGUACAGUGGUAUUGUUCUUUACCAACCGAGUGGAGAUGUGUGGGGUUUAGGCCCAGGGGUAUUAUUGGUGUUUAUGCACUGGUGAUUACCCUGAGCAGUAUUGUUUUAAAAUGGAUUGAACGAGAGAGUUUGAUCCUGGCUCAGAUUGAACGCUGGCGGCAUGCCUAACACAUGCAAGUCGAACGGUAGCAGGCCUUCGGGUGCUGACGAGUGGCGGACGGGUGAGUAAUGCGUAGGAAUCUGUCUUUUAGUGGGGACAACCCAGGGAAACUUGGGCUAAUACCGCAUGAGCCCUGAGGGGAAAGCGGGGGAUCUUCGGACC